UCCGGUUUGUCACCGGCGGUCCCCUUAGAGUUCCCAACUGAAUGCUGGCAACAUGCGACGGGGGUUGCGCUCGUUAUGGGACUUAACCCGACAUCUCACGACACGAGCUGACGACAGCCAUGCAGCACCUGAUACUAGUGUCCCGAAGGCCUACCGUAUCUCUACAGUAUUCACUAGCACUUCAAACCCGGGUAAGGUUUUUCGCGUUGCAUCGAAUUGAACCACAUGCUCCACCGCUUGUGCGGGCCCCCGUCAAUUUCUUUGAGUUUUAAUCUUGCGACCGUACUUCCCAGGCGGAAUACUUAACGCGUUAGCUUCGGCACUAGAGGGGUCAAUACCUCUAACACCAAGUAUUCAUCGUUUACGGCGUGGACUAC
Molecule: unclassified non-coding RNA, 377 nt
Filed under: uncultured Pseudobdellovibrionaceae bacterium
Lineage: Bacteria; Pseudomonadati; Bdellovibrionota; Bdellovibrionia; Bdellovibrionales; Pseudobdellovibrionaceae
Description: uncultured Bdellovibrionaceae bacterium contains 16S-23S intergenic spacer region
Source: RNAcentral